AGUUCUCUGCGCUCGUCUCGGUGCCCUGCCGAGUGAGAAACCACAAUCAAUAGAUAGUCCACUUGCCUCUGCAGUGGUGUGGGACUCCUUUCAUUCUUGUAUACUAACUUGGUAGGACUGACCCAGUUUUUCCUCUGGCGUUUUUGCCUGCCCUGCUCCAGAUAUAAGAAUGGCAGCAGAUUGUCAGGAGCGGUGGGACACAUACAAGUCACACAGACGAGGCUUUUCGGGAGCUGGAAAUUAAUACCUUGGCUAAAGAAACAUUGUCAUUUAAGAAAAGGUUAGAGUGGUGCGGGACCAUCAGCCCAGCUGCCUCUGCAGAUCACCAGCUGGUUGUCCAGUAUCAGACUGAGCUCAAUCACACCCGCAGCAAAAGAAGAGAACGAGCUUCCUGCAGAGCAGCCUGCCCCCUGAAAGCACACAAGCAAAGGGAACGCGUGGCAGCUCCCUGCAGCCACACCAACAGCAGCAGCCGCUGGGGCUCGCAGGAGCCAGGCAGGACCCUGAAGUGGGGGGGUGGGCAGCGAGCGCACCACAGGUGGUAACUCCUACACUUGCUUUCUGAAGGUUUUGAAGAAAACAGCUGAGUGGCUGAGGUUUUGGGUCAAUAUCAGGAGAAAAACAAUGUUUUUUUUUUCCCCUAAACAAACAAAAAAAGUUUAUGAAAAAUGUAUUUGAAUUAUUUAUGCUGGUUUAGAUAACAAACCUAAUGAUGAGUAGUUGGGGGUGGUGGUGUUACAUUUUUCUUAGCAUUAGAAAAGUGGGCUACAAAGGAAAAUAACAUGAUAUAUAGAGAGCUGGAAUUAUUUAGAAAAAAAUCAGAUAAAGCUCACAACACUCUGGAGAUGUUCCUUUUAUUCUUUUCAAAUCUGUAAUACUCAUUUUAUUUCUUUCAUCUUUUUUAGCUUGAAGUUAAUUGAUAAGAGACAAAAAUGCUCUAGAUACCUGUGACAGAUUAAAAAAAAGAAAAGGACAAUUUUGCAUAGAGAAAUCAGUUAUUUUGUCCAGAUCCUGGGCCAUGCGAGAAUUCUGUUGUCUAUAUUUGAAAUGUAACCUCUGCAGCUAAUAGACUUUCUUUACAGAAAAUAUUUGCUGUUCUGGCUAUGAAG
RNAcentral lists this long non-coding RNA (1109 nucleotides) under Anser brachyrhynchus (Pink-footed goose). Its description in RNAcentral is "lncRNA (ENSABRG00000023094.1)". Lineage: Eukaryota; Metazoa; Chordata; Aves; Anseriformes; Anatidae. The record is from RNAcentral.